Molecule: ribosomal RNA, 325 nt
Filed under: uncultured eukaryote
Lineage: Eukaryota
Description: partial 18S ribosomal RNA
Rfam family: Eukaryotic small subunit ribosomal RNA
Source: RNAcentral
CCCUUAGAUGUUCUGGGCCGCACGCGCGCUACACUGAUGCAUUCAACGAGCCUAUCCUUGACCGACAGGUCCGGGUAAUCUUUGAAUCUGCAUCUUGACGGGGAUAGAUUAUUGCAAUUAUUAAUCUUCAACGAGGAAUGCCUAGUAGGCGCAAGUCAUCAGCUUGCGUCGAUUACGUCCCUGCCCUUUGUACACACCGCCCGUCGCUCCUACCGAUUGGGUGUGCUGGUGAAAUGUUCGGAUCGGCCGUUUGUCGCGGUUUCCGCGUCAUGUGGCUGAGAAGUUCAUUAAACCCUCCCACCUAGAGGAAGGAGAAGUCGUAACA